GACUCCUACGGGAGGCAGCAGUGGGGAAUAUUGCGCAAUGGGGGAAACCCUGACGCAGCCAUGCCGCGUGUGUGAAGAAGGCCUUAGGGUUGUAAAGCACUUUCAAUUGGGAGGAAAGGUUGUACGUUAAUAGCGUGCAGCUGUGACGUUACCUUUAGAAGAAGCACCGGCUAACUCCGUGCCAGCAGCCGCGGUAAUACGGAGGGUGCGAGCGUUAAUCGGAAUUACUGGGCGUAAAGCGCGCGUAGGCGGUUUGUUAAGUCGGAUGUGAAAGCCCCGGGCUCAACCUGGGAACUGCAUUCGAUACUGGCCGACUAGAGUACGAGAGAGGGAGGUAGAAUUCCAUGUGUAGCGGUGAAAUGCGUAGAUAUGUGGAGGAAUACCGGUGGCGAAGGCGGCCUCCUGGCUCGAUACUGACGCUGAGGUGCGAAAGCAUGGGUAGCAAACAGGAUUAGAUACCCUGGUAGUCCACGCCGUAAACGAUGUCUACUAGCCGUUGGGAGACUUGAUUUCUUAGUGGCGCAGCUAACGCAAUAAGUAGACCGCCUGGGGAGUACGGCCGCAAGGUUAAAACUCAAAUGAAUUGACGGGGGCCCGCACAAGAGAU
This 607-nucleotide ribosomal RNA is filed under the name uncultured bacterium. Its description in RNAcentral is "bacterial SSU rRNA". It matches the Rfam family "Bacterial small subunit ribosomal RNA", at positions 334 to 933 of the family's 1533-position model. The record is from RNAcentral.